CGCCCGCGUCGGUGGGCGAAGCAGGUGAAGGGGAGGAAGAAAGACUGGAGGCUGUUCUUCAACACGCUGUUCUGGAACCUCAACUACUGGGACAGCGCGAGCACCAUGGCCGGCGAGGUGGAGCGGCCGGAGCGGACGUUCCCGCGGGCACUUGCAGCAGCGGUCGUUCUGAUUGCCGCCAGUUACCUGCUGCCGCUCAUGGCCGCAACCGGCGCCACGGACGCGUCGCCGGAUGCAUGGGUGAACGGCUACUUGGCUACCGCCGCAGGCAUCAUCGGGGGACCAUGGCUCAAGUACUGGACCGGUGCAGGCGCAGUAAUCUCCUCCAUUGGCAUGUUUGAGGCCCAAAUGAGCAGUGGCGCGUUCCAGCUCCAUGGUAUGGCGGACCGAGGCCUCCUCCCGUCCGUCUUCGGCAGUCGUGCCGCUCGCACCGGCACCCCAUGGGUUGCAAUCACUGCAUCAACCGCUAUCACCAUCGCCGUCUCCUUCCUCGGUUUCGACAACAUCGUCGCAACAUCAAAUUUCCUAUAUAGCCUGGGAACACUACUCGAGUUCUCCUCCAUCCUCUGGCUCCGAGUCAAGUACCCAACACUGAAGCGCCCAUACCAUGUGCCUCUGCCACUGCCCGCGCUCAUAGCCAUGUGCAUUGUGCCAUCGGUAUUCCUAUCUUACGUGUGUGUGGUUGCUGGGUGGAGGGUAUUCACCAUUGCUGCAGGGCUGACCGCGCUCGGUGUCGGGUGGCACGGCCUCAUGAAGCUGUGCAUAUCCAAGAAGUUGCUCAGUUUUCGCGUGCCUGAAUCAUCAUGUUGA
RNAcentral lists this ribosomal RNA (810 nucleotides) under Triticum aestivum (bread wheat). RNAcentral describes it as "partial small subunit ribosomal RNA". The record is from RNAcentral. Lineage: Eukaryota; Viridiplantae; Streptophyta; Magnoliopsida; Poales; Poaceae.